CAGUCGUGUGAAAGGUAUUCAGCCGUCUCUGGCGGUGUAUUUGCCUUUCACGGGUCAACAUCAGUUUAGUCCGGUAGAAAAAGGCUGGAGGAAGGUGGCACCCUCGGGCGUGUUAUAGCCUCCUGUCAUAUGUGCCGGAUUAGACUGAGGAACGCAGCUUGCAGCAAUGCCGGGGUUCGCCCACGUACAAGCUUAGGAUGUUGACAUAAUGGCUUUAAGCGACCCGUCUUGAAACACGGACCAAGGAGUCUAACAUAUGUGCGAGUGUUU
This 270-nucleotide ribosomal RNA is filed under the name Rhizophagus prolifer. It matches the Rfam family "Eukaryotic large subunit ribosomal RNA", at positions 432 to 695 of the family's 3401-position model. Lineage: Eukaryota; Fungi; Glomeromycota; Glomeromycetes; Glomerales; Glomeraceae. The record is from RNAcentral.